UACGUAGGGUGCGAGCGUUAAUCGGAAUUACUGGGCGUAAAGCGUGCGCAGGCGGUUUUGUAAGCCAGAUGUGAAAUCCCCGGGCUUAACCUGGGAAUGGCAUUUGGGACUGCAAGGCUUGAGUGCGGCAGAGGAGACUGGAAUUCCUGGUGUAGCAGUGAAAUGCGUAGAUAUCAGGAGGAACACCGAUGGCGAGGGCAGGUCCCUGGGCUGACACUGACGCUCAUGCACGAAAGCGUGGGGAGCAAACAGG
This 253-nucleotide ribosomal RNA is filed under the name uncultured bacterium. RNAcentral's name for it is "partial 16S ribosomal RNA". It matches the Rfam family "Bacterial small subunit ribosomal RNA", at positions 524 to 776 of the family's 1533-position model. The record is from RNAcentral.